AGCAGCCGCGGUAAUUCCAGCUCCAAUAGCGUAUAUUAAAGUUGUUGCAGUUAAAAAGCUCGUAGUUGAAUUUCGAGACCGGUUUAUUGGUCGUGCUUUUGUACGUACUGGUAUUAUUGGUUUCUCCUUUCUGACGAAUCAUAAUGCCAUUAAUUUGGUGUUUUGGGGAAUCAGGACUGUUACUUUGAAAAAUUAGAGUGUUUAAAGCAGGCUUACGCUUAAAUACAUUAGCAUGGAAUAACGAAAUAGGACGUUUGAUUUUAUUUUGUUGGUUUCUAGGAUCGACGUAAUGAUUAAUAGGGAUAGUUGGGGGCAUUAGUAUUCAAUUGUCAGAGGUGAAAUUCUUGGAUUUAUUGAAGACUAACUACUGCGAAAGCAUUUGCCAAGGAUGUUUUCAUUAAUCAAGAACGAAAGUUAGGGGAUCGAAGACGAUCAGAUACCGUCGUAGUCUUAACCAUAAACUAUGCCGACUAGGGAUCGGAUGAUGUUAAUUUUUAAUGACUCAUUCGGCGCCUUA
Molecule: ribosomal RNA, 517 nt
Filed under: uncultured Glomus
Lineage: Eukaryota; Fungi; Glomeromycota; Glomeromycetes; Glomerales; Glomeraceae
Description: SSU rRNA
Rfam family: Eukaryotic small subunit ribosomal RNA
Source: RNAcentral